UACGUAGGGGGCAAGCGUUGUCCGGAAUCAUUGGGCGUAAAGCGCGUGUAGGCGGCUUGGUAAGUCUGCUCUGAAAGCCCGGGGCUCAACCCCGGGAGGCGGGUGGAUACUGUCAAGCUCGAGUCCGGAAGAGGAGUGUGGAAUUCCUGGUGUAGCGGUGAAAUGCGCAGAUAUCAGGAAGAACACCCGUGGCGAAAGCGGCUCUCUGGAACGGUACUGACGCUGAGACGCGAAAGCGUGGGGAGCGAACAGG
RNAcentral lists this ribosomal RNA (253 nucleotides) under uncultured bacterium. RNAcentral's name for it is "partial 16S ribosomal RNA". It matches the Rfam family "Bacterial small subunit ribosomal RNA", at positions 524 to 776 of the family's 1533-position model. The record is from RNAcentral.